This is a non-coding RNA of Odocoileus virginianus texanus, 1984 nucleotides long. Lineage: Eukaryota; Metazoa; Chordata; Mammalia; Artiodactyla; Cervidae. The record is from RefSeq and is a predicted model, not a curated record.
CUAACUAUGAGACCAUGGACAUAAAUGAGACCAAGUUAUAUAAAUACCUUUUGCUUCCUUUUUCUGUAAAAUGGGAAUAAUAACAGCUCUUACCUCAUAAUGUUGUCAUGAACAUUAAAUGAAUGCACCAUUGUGAAGUACUGAGAAUAGUGCAUAGAAUGUGAUAAGUCCAUCUCUGUCAUGAUUAAUAUUGUGUGCCAGGCACUAGACUAGAUGCUAAAACUUCAAAAUGGAACAAAAUAAGGUUUCUGCCCUCAAGGAGCUUACAGUCUAGUGAAAGGGACAGAGACCCUCAUGACUGUGAGUACAGCAUGCUGUGUGGGCAGCACAAGAGAGGAUGGAGUCAAGGAGGCUUUCCAAGAAGAGAUCGUCUACUUGAACCAAACCAGCCGACGGUGAGAAGAGCAGGGACGGAGACCUGGAGGCAACAGUGUGUGUGUCAAGUCUGAGGCCCUGGAGUGGUUCUGAAUGAUGGGGACACGAGUGCCAGAGGGGUUUGAGAUUGAAGAGGAUACCAAACCUUAAGACUAGAUAGAAGUUACCAAGGGAAAGAUCAGCACACAGUACUCUUGAACUACAUGCUAUGCCUCUUCUUCCUGGGACCUCAUGGAUUUAAAUGGCUUAAGAGAACGGGAUGAGAUGUUGAAAAUUGUCUUUUCAAAAGAUCUCACCGAAGGCCAAAGACAAGACCCAUUCAGUCCAAAGGUAUACGUGUGCAUGUGCUAAUGCGUGGGGGCAGGGAUUGAUGGAGUUAACAAAAUGUGCCCAAUCUGCAUCUUAGACAGGAAAAAGAGAGACAUGGGUGAAUUCCAAUUUUCAGCAUGAAUCAAGAGGAAGAAGAAAACCUCGAAUUUCAUCUGCUUCUCCAAGGAAAUGUCAGGCAGCUGCUGCUUUUAUUUUCUAGGCACCAGAGGCUUCUGUGAAGGGCAGUGCGGAUCCAUGCUUCUUCAGCGCCCCCACGGCAUCAUGCAUAGAAGUGGCAGCUGCUAGUGUGGCAGGAUUAGUGAAAGGGCAACAACCUGGCUGAAGCCACACUUGUGUAACAAGCCCACUGCUUUCACUUCACUCCCAUGGUUGUUUAGUACCUUGGAGUGAGGUGGUGGAUUCUGCUACAUGUACUCUUCCCAGGAAUAUAACCCAGGUCGUCACCAUGAAAGCAUGAACCUUCAGUCACCCACCCAAGAGGAUUCACAGACACAUUUCAAGAAUUUUCUUGAAUGGACUAUGCUUAUAGACCACCUGGUCAGGGAAGGAAGGAGGCCAGGGCACUGAAGGAAGGCUUCCAGCCAAGGAGAGCAGGCUGGGGGUGAGAGGAAGAAAGGGAAGGAGGGGUUGAAGUAUGAAGCGAGUGCAGUUAGGUCACAGUUUUGCCUGGGAGAGACAUGCUGGGUCUGAGAUGGUACUGGUCACUCCUUGUGCCCAGCUCUCUUGCCCUAUCUGCACAGCUCUUCCUUGUGACCACGGGGUGUCAAGUAUUCCCUUUCUGCUUUCACUUGCCUUGGCCUUUCAUGGGUAGAAUUAGAUAUCCUGCCAGACAAACUCUGCCAAGAGCAGUCUCUGGUAUUUAGAGCUAUAGACGUUAUUGUAAUAGGUGCCACUCCAUAGGCCAAAGGUAGAUGGCUUAUCUUUAGGCGACCGUGACACCCAUCAGUGAGGCUACAGAUCGCACGUCCAUCAUACCAUGACCGUCAGGCACAAAGUAUGGAGAAAAAGAAUCAGAAGAUCCAUACCAUUCAACCAAGUUCCAUCCUGAUGCCCCACGAGAUAUGACAGUUUCCACCAGCCUCCCUAGUCUCCUGUCCAAUAGCUCUGAUCAAAGGAAUGCUAUGGUCUUUGGACUCAAGACCUGCACCUGUUUCCUUCCCUAGGGUGAGAAGUGGCUAUAAACAUCUGUCUUGACCCUGCAUCUCCUGAUACACUGUCAUGAAAAUAAAAAAAUACAACAUUGGCCUUUGCUGUCAAUGUGUCCUCUUCCCAAAGUGUC